RNAcentral lists this ribosomal RNA (647 nucleotides) under Bacillus pumilus. RNAcentral describes it as "bacterial SSU rRNA". It matches the Rfam family "Bacterial small subunit ribosomal RNA", at positions 195 to 788 of the family's 1533-position model. Lineage: Bacteria; Bacillati; Bacillota; Bacilli; Caryophanales; Bacillaceae. The record is from RNAcentral.
CAAGGAUGAAAGACGGUUUCUGGUCUGUCACUUACGCAGAUGGACCCGCGGCGUCAUUAGCUAGUUGGAUGGGGUACCAUGGCUCACCAAGGCGUAAACGAUGCGUAGCCGAGCCUGAGAGGGUGAUCGGCCACACUGGGACUGCAGCACACGGCUCCAGCACUCCUACGGGAGGCAGCAGUAGGGAAUCUUCCGCAAUGGACUGAAAGUCUGACGGAGCAACGCCGCGUGAGUGAUGAAGGUUUUCGGAUCGUAAAGCAUCUGUUGUUAUGGGAAGAACAAGUGCGAGAGUAACUGCUCGCACCUUGACGGUACCUAACCAGAAAGCCACGGCUAACUACGUGCCAGCAGCCGCGGUAAUACGUAGGUGGCAAGCGUUGUCCGGAAUUAUUGGGCGUAAAGGGCUCGCAGGCGGUUUCUUAAGUCUGAUGUGUAAAGCCCCCGGCUCAACCGGGGAGGGUCAUUGGAAACUGGGAAACUUGAGUUGCCAGAAGAGGAGAGUGGAAUUCUCACGUGACUGGCGGUGACAAUGCGUAGGAAGAUGUGGAGGAACACCAGUGGCGAAGGCGACUCUGACCUGGUCUGUACACGUGCUACGCUGGACGGAGCGAAAGCGCUGCGGGAGCGAACAGGAUUAGCCAUACCCU